AACGGAGGUUUCGAUCGUUAUUGGGAAUUACUGGGCGUAAAGCGCGCGUAGGCGGCGUGAUAAGCCGGUUGUGAAAGCCCCGGGCUCAACCUGGGAACGGCAUCCGGAACUGUCAGGCUAGAGUGCAGGAGAGGAAGGUAGAAUUCCCGGUGUAGCGGUGAAAUGCGUAGAGAUCGGGAGGAAUACCAGUGGCGAAGGCGGCCUUCUGGACUGACACUGACGCUGAGGUGCGAAAGCGUGGGUAGCAAACAGG
RNAcentral lists this unclassified non-coding RNA (253 nucleotides) under uncultured Halomonadaceae bacterium. RNAcentral describes it as "contains 16S-23S intergenic spacer region". It matches the Rfam family "Bacterial small subunit ribosomal RNA", at positions 524 to 776 of the family's 1533-position model. Lineage: Bacteria; Pseudomonadati; Pseudomonadota; Gammaproteobacteria; Oceanospirillales; Halomonadaceae. The record is from RNAcentral.